Molecule: ribosomal RNA, 465 nt
Filed under: uncultured bacterium
Lineage: Bacteria
Description: partial 16S ribosomal RNA
Rfam family: Bacterial small subunit ribosomal RNA
Source: RNAcentral
CUACGGGGGGCUGCAGUGGGGAAUAUUGGACAAUGGGGGAAACCCUGAUCCAGCAAUGCCGCGUGUGUGAAGAAGGCCUGCGGGUUGUAAAGCACUUUCGGUUGGGAGGACUGCUUCUAGCACUAAUAUUGUUGGAAGUUGACGUUACCUUCAGAAGAAGCACCGGCUAGCGCCGUGCCAGCAGCCGCGGUAAUGCGGAGGGUGCAAGCGUUAAUCGGAAUUACUGGGCGUAAAGCGCGCGUAGGCGGCUAGAUCAGUCGGGUGUGAAAGCCCCGGGCUUAACCUGGGAACUGCAUCCGAUACUGUCUAGCUUGAGUACAGGAGAGGAGAGUGGAAUUCCACAUGUAGCGGUGAAAUGCGUAGAUAUGUGGAGGAACACCAAUGGCGAAGGCAGCUCUCUGGCCUGAUACUGACGCUGAGGUGCGAAAGCGUGGGGAGCAAACAGGAUUAGAUACCCGAGUAGUC